RNAcentral lists this ribosomal RNA (117 nucleotides) under Castor canadensis (American beaver). Lineage: Eukaryota; Metazoa; Chordata; Mammalia; Rodentia; Castoridae. The record is from RNAcentral.
GUCUAAGGCCAUAUCACCCUGAAUGUGCCCAAUCUUGUCUGGUCUCGAAAGCUAAGCAGGGUUGGGCCUCGUUAUACUUGGAUGGAAGACAGAUCUUCAGAGGGGACUGCUCAGAGA